UAAGUUGAUUUGAAGAAGUUACCUGCAGAUCUGGCCAAAUGGGAUGGUUGUUGGAGGAGAUACAUGGAUGAUUUGAUGAAGCACUUUCUUCAUUGUUUCCUGCCGUAUAUACAAAAAAUGUUAUUAAAAAAAUAGUAUAUCUAAUAUAUAAAAUUUGAAGAAAUUGGUUUAGUCCACUUACUCAUCUAAAUCAGAAUCGGGGAAGUGCCGGAUCUUGAACUUUCAGCAACUAUAAGAAAUAACAUGCAUAUUAGGUAUAAAAAAAAUGUGUCGGACAAAAAUCUAGAAAAAACUUCCUACCGGGAUAACAAAUCAACAAUCGACUAAAAAUACAAAAAUGGAACUUUGAUUCUUGUCGUAAGUUUUAACUAUUAUAAUUGGUAAGAUUGUUGCCAAUGUAGAUGUCGAGGGGAUAGAUAGG
This 421-nucleotide long non-coding RNA is filed under the name Daucus carota (carrot). RNAcentral describes it as "long non-coding RNA (DCAR_LNC004394)". The record is from RNAcentral. Lineage: Eukaryota; Viridiplantae; Streptophyta; Magnoliopsida; Apiales; Apiaceae.